Harpia harpyja (harpy eagle) is the source of this 349-nucleotide long non-coding RNA. RefSeq lists it as uncharacterized. The transcript is spliced from 3 exons. Lineage: Eukaryota; Metazoa; Chordata; Aves; Accipitriformes; Accipitridae. The record is from RefSeq and is a predicted model, not a curated record.
CGCCGGGCGCGUGGGGCCGCCUACGCGCGCGGCGGCCGCCCCGGCGGCUGUUGGGGGCAGCGGGUCGGCCGGGGCCGUUGUGCGCGCGCCGCCUGAGGCGGAGGCGGGUCCCGGCAGGACUGCCCAAGUGCCCUGCUCUGUGCUCUCCCUCCUGCUCAGCUUCGAAACGUGCCUAGCGGGCCUGGAGGCUGUACUGUGUUCAGCAGCGAGAGACGCGACAGUGAGACAGCUCUUCCCGAGGUGGGACUCGGUCUCAGAAGAGUUGCAACCACACUAUUCCGUAUCACCGUACCUUAAAGAAACAUCCAACGACCAUCUUAUGCGGUGUUGGUGUGGUAGGUUUCAUCUU